UACGUAGGCAGCGAGCGUUGUUCGGAGUUACUGGGCGUAAAGAGUGCGUAGGCGGUUUUCUAAGUUUGGUGUGAAAUCUCCCGGCUCAACUGGGAGGGUGCGCCGAAGACUGGAAGGCUUGAGUAUGGGAGAGGUAAGCGGAAUUCCAGGUGUAGCGGUGAAAUGCGUAGAUAUCUGGAGGAACACCGGUGGCGAAGGCGGCAUCCUGGACCAACACUGACGCUGAGGAGCGAAAGCCAGGGGAGCAAACGGG
Molecule: ribosomal RNA, 253 nt
Filed under: uncultured bacterium
Lineage: Bacteria
Description: partial 16S ribosomal RNA
Rfam family: Bacterial small subunit ribosomal RNA
Source: RNAcentral